UCGAUGCUGCUCCGCCACAACAAAGUCUUCGUUUGCAUGUACGUGCAUACACUGUUCGGUGUAUAUAUCGACGCGUAAUUGCAUUGCAUAUUCUCUCUCUCUCUGCAAGAUGAAAAUUCAGCGAGGUAGACAACCAUCAUAAAUGUGAUCUUGUAUCAUAUAAUAGAAAAUAAGCCCGGUAUAUCGAAGAAUGCUGAAAUACUGGACACUGUCAUCUCUUAACGGAAGAUGUUCUAAAGCGGUAUUUAUAAAAUACUGUUUUUCUUUCUCUCUUAGAGAUAUCGUGCAUGUUGAAAAAAAAAAACUAUUCGCAUUAUGUUUUAGUAAAAAGAGCUAUGAAAAAAGCAACUGGUUUUCUCCGCCCAAGGCAGAGUUCUUCGAAAAUUCAUAGAAAUAUCAACUAUUCAUUUCACGUACGUGGGCGCAAAUGCUUUAUAUUUAAAAUGAGAGCUUUUUAUAUACAAGUCAAAUUGUUUAGUAUAACAAAUGAGAAACACGUCACGUAAUAGGUAGAUCUAGAAUUGUUAUAAUUUAUAUGUAGGAGAUAACAGUUCAUUACAAUUAUAUCUAAAGAGUACUGCGUCACGUGAGAUUUCGACGAUUUCCAUCCAUUCAUUAGCUACCCCUGGUACCAGACAUGGGUCAGUUCUUUUUAAAACAAAACAGCAGACCGUCAUAGCGAACAACAGUGCGUCGUUUUCAAAGUUCGAGCGGAGAUCAGCCGUGAUUUAAUCUGUCCGUCUUGGGCAAACACGAUCAAGAUUAGAAACUUCCUUUCUUUGGCUGAAAUCUGUGGUUCAUGAGGCUUGAAAAAUAUAUGAAAGCGACUUACAAACAAUUUUUAAUAUGGUCUAGAUUUGAAGGGCUGGAAAGUCCCUGAUAAUAGCUCAAACAGCCAUCUUUUAUACAUGUGGUCUUUGAUACAGAGGCUAAUGAUCGUCGUACAAGGCGAAACAUGAACUGCCAAUUGGCCAUUUUGAAUUGUUCUAUGUUAUUUUUCCACCUGUCAAGCUAUCCGAUUGUUUCGAGCCCCUCAAUUCUUAGGACAGUUAUCAACCUUAGAUUUAAUUCCGCUAGAAUUUUGUCUCGUGUGCAGCUUAAACAAGCAACACUUCAGUGGGUUUAUACCUACUAAUAUCGCUUGACGCGCAACUACUUCUAAAGCAGGUCGAAGAAAGCAGGUUAAUUUGUGGUUUAAUUUAAACUUCAACUGCAAUAAAUAACGGUUACAUUGAAUACACAGAACAAUUUAGAACGACACUUUUAAACUAUGUGAAACACUUCACUAUUGUAACCGUUUUUUGUUUAAAUAUAGCCUUCGAAAGAGAAGCUAAAAAAGAUUCUCAAUUUUGUCAUGCCAUCCUGUAGAAUCAGCUUGACCUGAACAGAGCAAACAAGAUGGCGUCGAGCUGACCACCUCGUCAUGGUAAGUCGAAUAGCGAAGUAACAUCAUGAGCGGGUAUUAGCACGAUUUACCACCGUCAGAUAAUCUACGAAUAUUUCAUAUACUCUUGCGUAAAGUAUACUCGUCGCGACAAUGAAAUUUUGUCAUGUUCAGCUGCUGUGUUCAGUAGCUGUUCAGAGCCUGUGUAUAUAUAUAUAUUUUUAGCUUUUUCAAAGCGCAGCAAUCGUGAAGUUACAACUAUUCCAUCAUCGAAGCAGUCGCCUUCAUCGGAACAGUUUACGGCCUUCUCGCCAUAUGAAGAAACAGCAACUCGAUGCUUGCGCGUAUAGGCCAAAACCAGCUAUUGACCUGACAGCCUGCAUGAUCGUAUUCUACAAAGCGUGUCCUUACAAGCAGCGUGUUCGAAACAGGCGUACCUUCUAUCUAGCUGCUGCUCACAAGACUAUUGAGCGAUCUGAACCGGAACUUUCCAUAGCAUACACAAUCAUCGACGAAUCAGCCAAUCCAGGCCAUGGAACAUGCAAUCAAUAUCUGGACGCAGAUCUACGUAUACAUCGUAACGGUCGGACUCGCCACGGCGCCGUAAUUGUACAAGCUACGAGCUACAUAACACUUAUAUAACGCCAUUUUUCGAAGCUGACUGUGACUAGGUCUCUAAGAUACUUCAGCGACUUAUGUACACAAGUUAUUACCCUACGUCACGGCAAUGUGUAUGCUCACGUAGUAUGUGAGCUUAUUUUUUAGUCUACCCAUCAAAUGGUGGAUGUGAAGUAAAUAUAAGAAAUACGCUUACAAUACUGGAAUAAGGCAGAAUAAAAUUAACCUUCAGCAGGAGUUAGGUGUUCUUCUUUUCCUGUAAUUAUAAUAGGCUCUUCACAAACAGAAAUCCUACGUCCCUUCACAGAAUCGUAGCAUAUCAGCUUCUACAAUUACGUUAGUAUAUAAUAGAAAUAACUAACGGCUCAUAUUCGAAGUCA
Long non-coding RNA from Varroa destructor (honeybee mite), 2382 nucleotides. Lineage: Eukaryota; Metazoa; Arthropoda; Arachnida; Mesostigmata; Varroidae. The record is from RefSeq and is a predicted model, not a curated record.